CCAUGUGGCCUUACCAGCUUGUCAAAGCCUCAUCUCAUCAGAUCUCAGAAGGUAAACAAGGCUAUGCCUGAUUAGCACUUGGAUGGGAGACCGUUGGGAAUAUCAGGUGCCACAGUGG
RNAcentral lists this ribosomal RNA (118 nucleotides) under Periophthalmus magnuspinnatus. Lineage: Eukaryota; Metazoa; Chordata; Actinopteri; Gobiiformes; Gobiidae. The record is from RNAcentral.